UCCCAUGUGGCUCAGUUGGUAGAGCAUGGUGUUUGUAAUGCCAGGGUUGUGGGUUUGAUUCCCACGGGGGAC
Non-coding RNA from Salmo salar (Atlantic salmon), 72 nucleotides. The record is from Rfam. NCBI's taxonomy places the organism in Eukaryota, Metazoa, Chordata, Actinopteri, Salmoniformes, Salmonidae.